GAAGUGCAGCGGUGGCGGCGGCUGGUUGCGGGCCGGCGGCGGGCUGGCGGAGAUGGAGGAUCUUGUUCAAGAUGGGGUGGCUUCACCAGCUACCCCUGGGACCGGGAAAUCUAAGAAUUGGAGAAAGAAAUUGAAGAACUCAAAUCAAAACCUGUUACUGAAGGAACUGGUGAUAUUAUUAAGAGUCUUGCUCUGUCGCCCAGGCUGGAGUGCAAUGACGUGAUCUCGGCUCACUGCAACCUCUACCUCCUGGGUUCAAGCGAUUCUCCUGCCUCAAGCUCGCAUUAACUGAACGUCUGGAUGCUCUUCUUCUGGAAAAAGCAGAAACUGAGCAACGGUGUCUUUCUCUGAAAAAGGAAAAUAUAAAAAUGAAGCAAGAGGUUGAGCUAUAAUGCCAUCUUUACUAAAAGCGAAAAAAAGUAAGUUGAUUUUCACACACGACUAAAUACCAUUAUCUCUUUAGUUCUACGGUAUUCAGAGGCAUUUCUUGCCUAUUUCUUGCCUAUUAGGUCUGGGCUAGUUUGAGUAAUAGAUUUAAUAUUG
This 543-nucleotide small RNA is filed under the name Pan troglodytes (chimpanzee). RNAcentral describes it as "processed transcript". Lineage: Eukaryota; Metazoa; Chordata; Mammalia; Primates; Hominidae. The record is from RNAcentral.